Non-coding RNA from Callithrix jacchus (white-tufted-ear marmoset), 603 nucleotides. The record is from the annotation of a RefSeq genome assembly. Lineage: Eukaryota; Metazoa; Chordata; Mammalia; Primates; Cebidae.
AUGGGUGGCAAUUUUGAACACAGAAGAAAUGCUAACAUUUGUUUCUGUUUCUAUGAGUUCCUCCAGUGCCUGCAACACAGAGGUGUUAGCGCCUUUGCCCCUGCAGGUGUCCAGCGUGAGGUGCAGCUGGUGGAGUCUGGGGGAGGCUUGGUUCAGCCUGGGGGGUCCCUGAGACUCUCCUGUGCGGCCUCUGGAUUCACCUUCAGUUACUACUGGAUGAAUUGGGUCCGCCAGGCUCCAGGGAAGGGGCUGGAGUGGGUCUCAUACAUUAAUUAUAAUGGUGGUAGCACAUACUACGCAGACUCCGUGAAGGGCCGAUUCACCAUCUCCAGAGACAACGUCAAGAACUCACUGUAUCUGCAGAUGAACAGCCUGAGAGCCGAGGACACGGCCGUGUAUUACUGUACGAGAGACACAGUGAGGGGAAGUCAGCGUGAGCCCGGACACAAACCUCCUGCAGGAACACUCGGGGAAAUCAGCUGCAGGGGGCGCUCGGGAGCCACUGAUCAGCGUCAACCCCAGAGGCAGGUGCAGAUGGAGGCUGGUUUCCCGUCAGGAUGUGGGACUUCAUCUUCUUACAGUUUCUCUAGUGAAUCUUUCUAA